This 778-nucleotide ribosomal RNA is filed under the name uncultured Neocallimastigales. RNAcentral describes it as "partial large subunit ribosomal RNA". It matches the Rfam family "Eukaryotic large subunit ribosomal RNA", at positions 23 to 646 of the family's 3401-position model. Lineage: Eukaryota; Fungi; Neocallimastigomycota; Neocallimastigomycetes; Neocallimastigales. The record is from RNAcentral.
AGAGAGAGACAUGCGCGCAUAUCAAUAAGCGGAGGAAAAGAAACUAACUAGGAUUCCCUCAGUAACGGCGAGUGAAGCGGGAAGAGCUCAAAUUUGAAAUCUUCAAGGUUCUACCUUGACGAAUUGUAGUUUAAAGAAGUGUUUUCUGUUGGAGGUUUUGGUAAAAGUUCUUUGGAAUAGGACAUCAUAGAGGGUGAGAAUCCCGUAUUUGACCAUUUACUUUCCAGCUUUGUGAUACACUUUCAAAGAGUCGGAUUGUUUGGGAAUGCAGGCCAAAAUGGGUGGUAAAUUUCAUCUAAAGCUAAAUAUUGGCGAGAGACCGAUAGCGAACAAGUACCGUGAGGGAAAGAUGAAAAGAACUUUGAAAAGAGAGUUAAACAGUACGUGAAAUUGUCAAAAGGGAAGCGUUUGACACCAGUGUUGUUUUUCUCGAAAAUCAAUUAAAAAAGGCAGGAUUUUGUGUUGUAUUGACUUUAUCAGCUUUCUGCACUCUUUUCUUGUCUUUUUUAAUGCACUUUUCGUUUAACAAGUCAACAUCAAUUUCUUUUGUUGUAAAAGGGUCAUUGGAAGGUGGCUUUCUUUUCGGAGAAAGUGUUUAUAGCCUUUGGCCUCUGCAAUCGGAGAGAUUGAGGUCUGCAGCGUAGAUCCUUCGGGGUUAGAUACAUUUGUGCUAAGUUAUAGCCUUUCAUAGACAACUUGUUGACUAUGAUCAGUCAUGUAGCUUACUCGCUUAUGCUAUUUUACCUACGCUUAGGAUGUUGAUGUGAUACUGCGAGCA